Long non-coding RNA from Arabidopsis lyrata subsp. lyrata, 443 nucleotides. RefSeq lists it as uncharacterized. Lineage: Eukaryota; Viridiplantae; Streptophyta; Magnoliopsida; Brassicales; Brassicaceae. The record is from RefSeq and is a predicted model, not a curated record. The transcript is spliced from 2 exons.
UGGAAUGAAGUAUGUCCUCAUGAGAAAUGGUUUUCCUUCAGCUCUGAGCAAAAACCAGAGAUAGAGAAAUACAUCUCUUCCAUAAGGAUGAAACGGCUUGGAGCACAAAAGAAUGCAAAUACUAUUAUUACUUAGCAAUGAUGAUUCUCUUUGGCCGCGAGCACAUAAGAACAUGAUUCUGAUAAGCGAAGAGGAAAACGGCUGACUCAAAACUCUUCGACAUGUGAUUUUGAAUCGCAUUGAGUAUUGCUUUAUCAACAACCCAAAAAGCUCUGUUUGUAUGCUAAUGUUCGUUCGGAUUCCCUUAAGUAUGAAACGAUCUUUUGAUAGUUUAUGAGUUGUUUUUAUGUUUCAAGAAUUUCUGAAAAGUGAACAAACAGAUUCUAUAAUUCUUAUUUUGUUUUUGUAUUUUCAAUUUUCAAUAGACGAGGUCAUUCAUUAUA